GCGAACGGGUGCGUAACGCGUAUGCAACUUACCUUAUGCAGGGGGAUAGCCCGUGGAAACGCGGAUUAAUAUCCCAUAGAUCAGUAAUAUCGCAUGGUAUAACUGGUAAAACUCAGGUGGCAUAAGAUGGGCAUGCGUCUGAUUAGCUAGUUGGUAGGGUAACGGCCUACCAAGGCGACGAUCAGUAGGGGUUCUGAGAGGAUUAACCCCCACACUGGUACUGAGACUUGGACCAGACUCCUACGGGAGGCAGCAGUGAGGAAUAUUGGUCAAUGGGCGCAAGCCUGAACCAGCCAUCCCGCGUGAAGGAAGAAGGCCCUACGGGUUGUAAACUUCUUUUCUGUUUGAAGAAUAAGCUCGUCGAGACGAGUGAUGCCGGUAGGACAGGAAUAAGCAUCGGG
Molecule: ribosomal RNA, 401 nt
Filed under: uncultured Bacteroidota bacterium
Lineage: Bacteria; Pseudomonadati; Bacteroidota
Description: bacterial SSU rRNA
Rfam family: Bacterial small subunit ribosomal RNA
Source: RNAcentral